AUCAGGUGACAGAAGUUUGUCUGCUUGGUGGAUUUAUGUGUACCAUUAUUGUAUGAUGGAGAGUACACCAUCUGGAUCUGACCACUAAAACCUGAGGAGGAAAAUAACAGGGACAAUUUACAACAAAACAUAAGUCUCAGAAGUGAGAAGUGAUGCGUUGCACCAGAGCUAACAGCUCAUUUACAUCUGCAGUCCCCAGGCAGAGAAAAACAUCAGCCACCAGCUACACAACAGAUAGAAAUAAGCCAAGAUCAACCUACAGAAUGUCAAACCACCCACACAAUUCUUUAAUAGACUU
This is a long non-coding RNA of Coregonus clupeaformis (lake whitefish), 298 nucleotides long. RefSeq lists it as uncharacterized. The transcript has 3 exons. The record is from RefSeq and is a predicted model, not a curated record. NCBI's taxonomy places the organism in Eukaryota, Metazoa, Chordata, Actinopteri, Salmoniformes, Salmonidae.